AGCAGCCGCGGUAAUUCCAGCUCCAAUAGCGUAUAUUAAAGUUGUUGCAGUUAAAAAGCUCGUAGUUGAAUUUUGGAUUCUUCCAAUUGGUCCAUCUUUUAGAUGAGUACUGGUUGUGUGGGGUCUAUCCGCCUGGUGAUACGUAAUGUCCUUUAUUGGAUGUUGCGGGUAGUCAGGACCUUUACCUUGAAAAAUUAGAGUGUUUAAAGCAGGCUUAUGCCGGAAUACAUUAGCAUGGAAUAAUAGAAUAGGACGAAGUUGUUUUAUUUUGUUGGUUUCUAGGACAACCGUAAUGAUUAAUAGGGAUAGUUGGGGGCAUUAGUAUUCAAUUGUCAGAGGUGAAAUUCUUGGAUUUAUUGAAGACUAACUACUGCGAAAGCAUUUGCCAAGGAUGUUUUCAUUAAUCAAGAACGAAAGUUAGG
RNAcentral lists this ribosomal RNA (422 nucleotides) under uncultured Archaeospora. RNAcentral's name for it is "SSU rRNA". It matches the Rfam family "Eukaryotic small subunit ribosomal RNA", at positions 569 to 994 of the family's 1831-position model. The record is from RNAcentral. Lineage: Eukaryota; Fungi; Glomeromycota; Glomeromycetes; Archaeosporales; Archaeosporaceae.